RNAcentral lists this ribosomal RNA (567 nucleotides) under Streptomyces sp. 411A09. RNAcentral's name for it is "bacterial SSU rRNA". It matches the Rfam family "Bacterial small subunit ribosomal RNA", at positions 93 to 672 of the family's 1533-position model. The record is from RNAcentral. Lineage: Bacteria; Bacillati; Actinomycetota; Actinomycetes; Kitasatosporales; Streptomycetaceae.
UAGUGGCGAACGGGUGAGUAACACGUGGGCAAUCUGCCCUGCACUCUGGGACAAGCCCUGGAAACGGGGUCUAAUACCGGAUACGAGCCGGGGAGGCAUCUCCCCGGUUGGAAAGCUCCGGCGGUGCAGGAUGAGCCCGCGGCCUAUCAGCUUGUUGGUGAGGUAACGGCUCACCAAGGCGACGACGGGUAGCCGGCCUGAGAGGGCGACCGGCCACACUGGGACUGAGACACGGCCCAGACUCCUACGGGAGGCAGCAGUGGGGAAUAUUGCACAAUGGGCAGAAAGCCUGAUGCAGCGACGCCGCGUGAGGGAUGACGGCCUUCGGGUUGUAAACCUCUUUCAGCAGGGAAGAAGCGAGAGUGACGGUACCUGCAGAAGAAGCGCCGGCUAACUACGUGCCAGCAGCCGCGGUAAUACGUAGGGCGCGAGCGUUGUCCGGAAUUAUUGGGCGUAAAGAGCUCGUAGGCGGCUUGUCGCGUCGGUUGUGAAAGCCCGGGGCUUAACCCCGGGUCUGCAGUCGAUACGGGGCAGGCUAGAGUUCGGUAGGGGAGAUCGGAAUUCCCU